AACGAACGCUGGCGGCAGGCCUAACACAUGCAAGUCGAACGCCGUAGCAAUACGGAGUGGCAGACGGGUGAGUAACACGUGGGAACGUACCUUUCGGUUCGGAAUAACUCAGGGAAACUUGAGCUAAUACCGGAUACGUGCGAGAGCAGAAAGAUUUAUCGCCGAAAGAUCGGCCCGCGUCCGAUUAGCUUGUUGGUGAGGUAAUGGCUCACCAAGGCGACGAUCGGUAGCUGGUCUGAGAGGAUGAUCAGCCACACUGGGACUGAGACACGGCCCAGACUCCUACGGGAGGCAGCAGUGGGGAAUAUUGGACAAUGGGCGCAAGCCUGAUCCAGCCAUGCCGCGUGAGUGAUGAAGGCCUUAGGGUUGUAAAGCUCUUUGUCCGGGAAGAUAAUGACGGUACCGGAAGAAUAAGCCCCGGCUAACUUCGUGCCAGCAGCCGCGGUAAU
This 449-nucleotide ribosomal RNA is filed under the name uncultured bacterium. Its description in RNAcentral is "bacterial SSU rRNA". It matches the Rfam family "Bacterial small subunit ribosomal RNA", at positions 29 to 524 of the family's 1533-position model. The record is from RNAcentral.